AACGCGAAGAACCUUACCUGGGCUCGAAAUGUUGUGGACCGGGGUAGAAAUAUCCCUUCCCCGCAAGGGGCCGCAAUAUAGGUGCUGCAUGGCUGUCGUCAGCUCGUGUCGUGAGAUGUUGGGUUAAGUCCCGCAACGAGCGCAACCCUUAUCGUUAGUUGCCAGCGAGUCAAGUCGGGCACUCUAGCGAAACCGCCUCGGAUAACGGGGAGGAAGGUGGGGAUGACGUCAAGUCCUCAUGGCCUUUAUGUCCAGGGCUACACACGUGCUACAAUGGCCGGUACAAACCGUCGCAAACUCGCGAGAGGGAGCUAAUCGGAAAAAGCCGGCCUCAGUUCGGAUUGGAGUCUGCAACUCGACUCCAUGAAGCUGGAAUCGCUAGUAAUCGCGGAUCAGCACGCCGCGGUGAAUACGUUCCCGGGCCUUGUACACACCGACUGUAC
RNAcentral lists this ribosomal RNA (443 nucleotides) under uncultured bacterium. RNAcentral describes it as "bacterial SSU rRNA". It matches the Rfam family "Bacterial small subunit ribosomal RNA", at positions 958 to 1399 of the family's 1533-position model. The record is from RNAcentral.